UGAGGAAUAAUUGCACAAAUGGAGGGAAAACGUCUGAUGCAGCAACGCCGCGUGGAGGAUGACGCAUUUCGGUGUGUAAACUCCUUUUAUGAGUCAAGAAAAUGACGGUAGCUCAUGAAUAAGCACCGGCUAACUCCGUGCCAGCAGCCGCGGUAAUACGGAGGGUGCAAGCGUUAUUCGGAAUCACUGGGCGUAAAGGACGCGUAGGCGGGAAGCCAAGUCUGAUGUGAAAUCCUAUGGCUUAACCAUAGAACUGCAUUGGAAACUGGUUACCUAGAGUAUGGGAGGGGGAGAUGGAAUUAGUGGUGUAGGGGUAAAAUCCGUAGAUAUCACUAGGAAUACCGAAAGCGAAGGCGAUCUCCUGGAACAAUACUGACGCUAAGGCGUGAAAGCGUGGGGAGCAAACG
Molecule: ribosomal RNA, 407 nt
Filed under: uncultured bacterium
Lineage: Bacteria
Description: bacterial SSU rRNA
Rfam family: Bacterial small subunit ribosomal RNA
Source: RNAcentral